CGCUGUGUUUGCACACUCUUCACCCUGCUCCUGCCCACUCUGCUUGUCACCUUCCCCCUGAUAACCCCAUCACUCCUGAAAGAUCCUUAGUGCCUGGAUUUUGUCAUCCAGCCCUGCAGGAUGCUCCCAUUUGUCCUGAGGAAGUUCUGGUGCCAUUCCAUGGAGGUGGACACUCCCCACCUGCCAAGGCUGUCCCAGAUAGAGAGGAGGAGAUGGAGGUAGAUGCAAAGAUUGAUAUGGAGGAGGAGAUGGAGGUGGAUGUGGAGGUGGAAGAAGAGAUGGAGGUGGAUGUGGAAGAGUCCAUUGAGGACAUGGACAUUGAUUAAAAAGGGAUACUCCAGCAGGGAAUUCAAGAAGUUUGCUGUAUUUGGAAAAUCUCUGUCUUGACAGAAACUUCAGAAGGAUUCAGUUAUUUGCUGGUUUGAUUGGUUUGCAACCCUAAGGUUUCUUAUAAGUAACAGUUGUUUUUAAAAGUCCUGUUUAAAAGGUGUGUUAAGUGACACUCACCAAUUAGAGUUCGGGCUCUGGCCAAGUUCUAACUCUAUUUGGAUGGAGUGACUGAUAAUCAACCCAGAUGUUUUCUGCAUCAAAAAGUAUUCAAGUCCUUUUGACUUGGCAAUUUGACCAUCUAUGACGGCUGAGCCAUUUUCAGAGGGAGUUGGGGGAAACAUGAAUCCGGACAUGAUUUCUCCAAUUCUCUGUCAUUUUAAAGUUUGUCAGCUGUCGCAGACUCUGGGAUAAGAGUUCAGUGUUGUAGUGUUUAGUAAUUUUUUGAUUUUGUAUGUGUUGUUGAUUGUGUGUAUUAUCUAAAUCAACUCCUAAUUACUUUUAUCUUAAUAUUUCUUUAUGUAACAUUGCAAAAUGAAACCAGGACCCAUUCUUCACCUCCAAGAUUUUGACAAGAUUCUUUAGUCCUGCAGGGAUGUGGGAUUUGUUUCUGUUUUAACAGGUGCCCUGUCUCAGCUUGAAAAGAAAACGGGGGAGCUCAGGGUAUUGGAGUGGCUCUCUCCACCACUACAGCAACAGAGAACUUUGAGAAUGAAAAUUGAAAUGAUUGCAUCCCUCAUAAAGAAAGGACGUCUUAGAGCAAUCCAAGUUACAGGUGCGGAGCCUUCCACAAUACGAUUGCCCAUCAAAAAGGACACGCUUGACUGGUAUUUGGUGAACUCUGGGGAGCUCCAGGAAGCCCUUUUAGGAGCUGGAGCUGUCGUGGAGACUGGGAAACUGCAUCCUAGUCCCCUCCAGUGGAUGACAGAAUGGGACUGGAUAACAAAGCCCAUUCGGAGUCUGUCACCAUUAAGGGGGGCUAUCACGGCCUUUACGGACGCUGGUAAAAAGUCCAGGAGAGCAGCCGUGACAUGGAAACAGCAAGGACAGUGGUGACAACAUUUGUUAGAUGCAGAUGCCAGGGACAGUCUACAGACAUUGGAACUUUUAGCUGUAGUAUAGACAAUGAUGAAUUUAAAAGGUCCUUUGAAUAUUGUGACUGACUCCCUUUAUGUAGCAGGAGUAGCUGCCAGGGUACUAUACUGUGGGAGGGGAUAUCUUUGUGUUUCCUCUCCAACAGGACCCUUGUGGAUCCCCGCAAAGUGGACUCGAGCUGUACCAGAUGUUGAGGACCGUCACGGCCUUGUCACCGGAGGACAAAGAGAAGGUGCACAACAAACUGACGCUGAUAUUGCGACCCUAUUUGCAACGCCUCCAGCCCUACUCUAACGACGCGCGACGUGCCUGCGUUCAUCUUCCUGACGAUUGGAUCGAGUGGUGUCAGGACCUUACAGUAGAAGUAAAAGCUCCUCAAUCACAGCCAUGCCUGGACUGUGGGGACAAUAAAUGCGCUGCAUGGAUCGCGCUAGACUGUGGAGGCUGUAAUAAGGUGUUUUGGUUGGAGCAAUCGACCAUUCGGCAAAAACUGGUGCCCAAGCUGCCAAGUCUCCUGGAACUUGCAGAACUCGUGGCAGCGAGCACUAAGGGAUUUUACAGGGCUUGAUUUGGGAGGAUCGUUAGGCUUAUAUGAAGCCCCGGAGCAAAUUAUCUUGGCAUAUGUUACUUAGCAACUUAAGACCUUGUGUGAGCGAGCUGAAACAGGUAGUAGUAGCCACACUUUUACCUGGAGGGGCAGCGAAUAAGGCCAUGAAUUUGGCCAAGCAAUUAGGCUGCUGGGCCAAAGACGAACUGAACGCCACCUCCCAGGUAUUGGACAUGCUGUCUCAAGAUGUACAAAGUGUAAAUCAUGCAGUAUUGCAGAAUAGAGCAGCAAUCGAUUUCUUAUUAUUAGCUCAAGGCCAUGGUUGUGAAGAAUUUGAGAGUAUGUGUUGUAUGAAUUUAUCAGAUCAUUCUGUAUCAAUAUGCUAUAGAGAUAUUGUGUGAUAGUAUUGCUAAUGUUUGUAUUACCAUGCUUGCAUUACCAUGCUUGCCUAAUUGCAUACAAAGAAUAGUGAGUCAGAUGAUAGAAAGGGCUUAGAAAACAACACUUCUGGCCCAAAAAGAAAACGGGGGAAAUGUUGAGAGCUUUGUAACAAGCUAGCUCCGAGCUAAAGCUCACAGUGAGAUUAAUUUGACCAAGAUAGAAAACGAGGGAGUUGCCUUCCAAUUAAACUGUGUGUCCUUGGCCCACGAAUGAAGUAAUGCACAGACACAGGUGGUGGACCGGCAUAGCCUGGGAAAGUGGAAUAGUUAUACUAAAAACAGCACGUAGUUAGCUGAUAACUAGUUAGCCAAUGGUGAGCUGGGAUUUUGCACUAUGCAUGAGCUAAUUAAAAGGUAUAUAAUAAUCGGUGAUUCGGGAAUAAAGACGAGACUUGUCGAUCAUCAUAUGGUGAGCAAGUCUUCCUUCUCCAUCACCAGACCCAGCCAGGCUCAGUUCUCCUAGCAGAGUCCUGCUGCUGGGCCAGCUGUGCCAGCCUAGGGGCACAUGCAAGAGCCCUCUGUGCCUGACU
Molecule: long non-coding RNA, 2939 nt
Organism: Passer domesticus (house sparrow)
Lineage: Eukaryota; Metazoa; Chordata; Aves; Passeriformes; Passeridae
Exons: 3
Source: RefSeq, a predicted model, not a curated record